AUACGGAGGAUGCGAGCGUUAUCCGGAUUUAUUGGGUUUAAAGGGUGCGCAGGCGGCCAUUUAAGUCAGCGGUUAAAUCGUGGGGCUCAACCCCAUUCUGCCGUUGAUACUGGGUGGCUUGAUUGCGGUCGAGGUUGGCGGAAUUCGUUGUGCAGCGGUGAAAUGCAUAGAUAUGACGAAGAACACCGAUUGCGUAGGUAGCUGACCAGACCGCAAAUGACGCUCAUGCACGAAAGUGCGGGGAUCGAACAGGAUUAGAUACCCUGGUAGUCCGCACAGUAAACGAUGAAUACUUGUUUUCGGCGAUAUAAUGUCGGAGGCAAAGCGAAAGCGAUAAGUAUUCCACCUGGGGAGUACGCCGGCAACGGUGAAACUCAAAUGAAUUGACGGGG
RNAcentral lists this ribosomal RNA (392 nucleotides) under uncultured bacterium. RNAcentral's name for it is "partial 16S ribosomal RNA". It matches the Rfam family "Bacterial small subunit ribosomal RNA", at positions 523 to 918 of the family's 1533-position model. The record is from RNAcentral.